GACGAACGCUGGCGGCGUGCUUAACACAUGCAAGUCGAACGGAAAGGCCCUGCUUUUGUGGGGUGCUCGAGUGGCGAACGGGUGAGUAACACGUGAGUAACCUGCCCUUGACUUUGGGAUAACUUCAGGAAACUGGGGCUAAUACCGGAUAGGAGCUCCUGCUGCAUGGUGGGGGUUGGAAAGUUUCGGCGGUUGGGGAUGGACUCGCGGCUUAUCAGCUUGUUGGUGGGGUAGUGGCUUACCAAGGCUUUGACGGGUAGCCGGCCUGAGAGGGUGACCGGCCACAUUGGGACUGAGAUACGGCCCAGACUCCUACGGGAGGCAGCAGUGGGGAAUAUUGCACAAUGGGCGGAAGCCUGAUGCAGCAACGCUGCGUGCGGGAUGACGGCCUUCGGGUUGUAAACCGCUUUCGCCUGUGACGAAGCGUGAGUGACGGUAAUGGGGAAAGAAGCACCGGCUAACUACGU
This 467-nucleotide ribosomal RNA is filed under the name uncultured bacterium. RNAcentral's name for it is "partial 16S ribosomal RNA". It matches the Rfam family "Bacterial small subunit ribosomal RNA", at positions 28 to 506 of the family's 1533-position model. The record is from RNAcentral.